This 465-nucleotide ribosomal RNA is filed under the name uncultured Klebsiella sp. Its description in RNAcentral is "bacterial SSU rRNA". It matches the Rfam family "Bacterial small subunit ribosomal RNA", at positions 338 to 795 of the family's 1533-position model. Lineage: Bacteria; Pseudomonadati; Pseudomonadota; Gammaproteobacteria; Enterobacterales; Enterobacteriaceae. The record is from RNAcentral.
CCUACGGGGGGCUGCAGUGGGGAAUAUUGCACAAUGGGCGCAAGCCUGAUGCAGCCAUGCCGCGUGUGUGAAGAAGGCCUUCGGGUUGUAAAGCACUUUCAGCGGGGAGGAAGGCGGUGAGGUUAAUAACCUCAUCGAUUGACGUUACCCGCAGAAGAAGCACCGGCUAACUCCGUGCCAGCAGCCGCGGUAAUACGGAGGGUGCAAGCGUUAAUCGGAAUUACUGGGCGUAAAGCGCACGCAGGCGGUCUGUCAAGUCGGAUGUGAAAUCCCCGGGCUCAACCUGGGAACUGCAUUCGAAACUGGCAGGCUAGAGUCGUGUAGAGGGGGGUAGAAUGCCAGGUGUAGCGGUGAAAUGCGUAGAGAUCUGGAGGAAUACCGGUGGCGAAGGCGGCCCCCUGGACAAAGACUGACGCUCAGGUGCGAAAGCGUGGGGAGCAAACAGGAUUAGAUACCCGAGUAGUC